GCAGGGCUAGUGACUGGGGUGAAGUCGUAACAAGGUAGCCGUACCGGAAGGUGUGGCUGGAUCACCUCCUUAAAGGGAGACCUAAUUCAGGUAUGGGACGAAAAAAAGUAGUCGCUACCAAGAAUCAAUCCCAAAAGGUCGGAGCGAGGCAUGAGGCUUUCAAACUAGGUUCUGGGUUCAUAAAAGACCUGAAUCAGGAACAAGGGCUAUUAGCUCAGGUGGUUAGAGCGCACCCCUGAUAAGGGUGAGGUCCCUGGUUCGAGUCCAGGAUGGCCCACCUGCACAGGUGGCCAAAAAAAAGAAGCGAGGAAUCAGCACCUUAUCCUAAUUUAUAUAUAGGAGAGAAUGCUGGCUCUGAGUAAAGAGUCCAGAGGAACCUUGAAAACUGC
This 389-nucleotide unclassified non-coding RNA is filed under the name Microcystis aeruginosa LEGE 08328. RNAcentral describes it as "partial contains 16S ribosomal RNA, 16S-23S ribosomal RNA intergenic spacer, and 23S ribosomal RNA". The stretch from base 204 to 277 matches the Rfam family "tRNA". Lineage: Bacteria; Bacillati; Cyanobacteriota; Cyanophyceae; Chroococcales; Microcystaceae. The record is from RNAcentral.